CGAUACGCCUGUUCUCCUUUAACUUUGGGUGUGGGUAUAUCAUCUCAGUAAUGAGAAAAGGAACUUCCUGUUUUUACCCCACUCCCAUGCUGCCUCUUUGGAAGGAAGUCACCGUGAGCAGUGAAGUGUACCCUGCAGUUUGAGUGCAAUUCUACAUAAAUUAUAUCAGAUACUGUGCAUAGAGCAUUUUACUGCUUUCUUUUCUUUUCUCUCUUGUCUCCUUACACUACAGAGACAUGGCCCCAGGCCCUGAGCUGGAGAAGUCGUGUUCAAGUGGAAGCACUGGAAAAUGGAAUCCUAAGAUUUUCCUUCCUAACUGCCAUCUAGGGAUCAUAGAGUUACCAGGGAUCCCCUCACCAUGAUUCCUCACCCCCACUGAACUGGUGACAAGAAACUAGACUGUGACGACCCACUGUGAAUGUCCCUGAACACUCUCUUCCACAGCUCUACUGGCCAUCAGCAGCACCAGCAGGAAGGUUACCUCUCCUCACUCUGCCAACUCGCUGGCGUGGAUCUAAUCAGCAGAACUUAAUUCCUAUUCAGAGCCCAACCUGCAGGGGAAUCUGAG
RNAcentral lists this long non-coding RNA (568 nucleotides) under Heterocephalus glaber (naked mole-rat). RNAcentral describes it as "lncRNA (ENSHGLG00000035591.1)". Lineage: Eukaryota; Metazoa; Chordata; Mammalia; Rodentia; Bathyergidae. The record is from RNAcentral.